Molecule: transfer RNA, 99 nt
Filed under: Aspergillus sclerotiicarbonarius CBS 121057
Lineage: Eukaryota; Fungi; Ascomycota; Eurotiomycetes; Eurotiales; Aspergillaceae
Description: tRNA-Gly
Rfam family: tRNA
About the family: Transfer RNA (tRNA) molecules are approximately 80 nucleotides in length. Their secondary structure includes four short double-helical elements and three loops (D, anti-codon, and T loops).
Source: RNAcentral
GCGUUAGUGGUGUAACGGUAACAUUCAACCCUUCCACGAUCUCAGCCGCAAGGUGAAGAUUGCGAGGUUGGGCCCUGGGUUCGACUCCCAGCUAACGCA